Molecule: ribosomal RNA, 468 nt
Filed under: uncultured bacterium
Lineage: Bacteria
Description: partial 16S ribosomal RNA
Rfam family: Bacterial small subunit ribosomal RNA
Source: RNAcentral
GACGAACGCUGGCGGCGUGCUUAACACAUGCAAGUCGAACGGAAAGGCCCUGAUUUUGUGGGGUGCUCGAGUGGCGAACGGGGGAGUAACACGUGAGUAACGUGCCCUUCACUUUGGGAUAACUUAAGGAAACUGGGGCUAAUACCGGAUAGGAUCUCCUGCUCCAUGGUGGGGGUGGGAAAGUUUCGGCGGUUGGGGAUGGACGGGCGGCUUAUCGGCUCGUUGGUGGGGUAGUGGAUUACCAAGGCUGUGCCGGGUAGCCGGCCUGGGAGGGUGACCGGCCACAUUACGCCUGAGCUACGGCGCAGCCUGCAACGGUAGGCAGCGGUGGGGAGUAUUACACAGUGGGCCGGAGCCUGAUGCGGCAACGCCGCGUGCGGGAUGACGGUCUGCUGGUAGUGAACCGCUGUCGCCUGUGACGAAGCGUUAGUGACGGUACCGGGAGAAUAAGCACCGGCUAACUACGUG